AUGAGCCAAAUUUGUGGCUUUACCAUGUAGCAGCGAUGGGCCAAAUUCAUGCCAUGAUAUCAACCCCCCAAAAUAGAUGAUACAUAAUCUGAUCACAAAUGCUUUGAUAUAUAUUAUGAAAUGGUUUGUGUGAGGGGUGAUUUUUUCUCAUUUUUCUCGCUUAGAGGGACCAUUAAGAAACAUGACCCCCGCUGAUACUGGGUUAAUUGAGGCUUUACGAGAAGUGUACUUGAAAUACGGCUGUCUUUUGUGUUCCCUGGAAGCACCCCUUAGAUUGAUUGCGUCAUUUAGGGGUUACAGGAGUCACAAUCGGAGAUAUUUUUACCGACCCCGACUCACACCCAUGGCUUGGAAUGAGUUAGCAAUGAGGGCAAGGAAGAUCCACAAUUUUAAGUCCAAGUUUGGUAAAAGUAGAUAUGGAACCAGGUUAUUUUAAGUCCAAGUUUGGGAAAAGUAGAUAAGGAACCAGGUUAUUUUAAGUCCAAGUUUGGGAAAAGUAGAUAAGGAACCAGGUUAUUUUAAGUCCAAGUUUGGGAAAAGUAGAUAUGGAACCAGGUUAUUUUAAGUCCAAGUUUGGGAAAAGUAGAUAAGGAACCAGGUUAUUUUAAGUCCAAGUUUGGGAAAAGUAGAUAAGGAACCAGGUUAUUUUAAGUCCAAGUUUGGGAAAAGUAGAUAAGGAACCAGGUUAUUUUAAGUCCAAGUUUGGGGAAAGUAGAUAAGGAACCAGGUUAUUUUAAGUCCAAGUUUGG
Eriocheir sinensis (Chinese mitten crab) is the source of this 749-nucleotide long non-coding RNA. RefSeq lists it as uncharacterized. NCBI's taxonomy places the organism in Eukaryota, Metazoa, Arthropoda, Malacostraca, Decapoda, Varunidae. The transcript is spliced from 4 exons. The record is from RefSeq and is a predicted model, not a curated record.